AUUGCCUCAGUAACGGCGAGUGAAGCGGCAACAGCUCAAAUUUGAAAUCUGGCCUCUCUCGGGGUCCGAGUUGUAAUUUGUAGAGAGUGUUUCGGGGGAGACCGCGGUCUAAGUCCAUUGGAACAUGGCGUCAUAGAGGGUGAGAAUCCCGUCUGUGACCGCGGAUCGAGCCCAUGUGAAGCCUCUUCGACGAGUCGAGUUGUUUGGGAAUGCAGCUCAAAAUGGGUGGUAAAUUUCAUCUAAAGCUAAAUACUGGCUGGAGACCGAUAGCGCACAAGUAGAGUGAUCGAAAGAUGAAAAGCACUUUGGAAAGAGAGUUAAACAGUACGUGAAAUUGUUGAAA
RNAcentral lists this ribosomal RNA (343 nucleotides) under Flavoparmelia caperata. RNAcentral's name for it is "eukaryotic LSU rRNA". It matches the Rfam family "Eukaryotic large subunit ribosomal RNA", at positions 74 to 413 of the family's 3401-position model. The record is from RNAcentral. Lineage: Eukaryota; Fungi; Ascomycota; Lecanoromycetes; Lecanorales; Parmeliaceae.